UCUAAAGAGCAGCUUCCUGGAGUGAGGGUGGAUGAGGGAGCAGCCAGCCUUGGACCGUGGGAACAAUGCUGCCUGUCGCCACCCACAGACACACGCCGCCCCUCCUUGAAGGAAUGUCCACCAAGAGUGGACCCGGACACACUGCUGCCGUGAAAGUGUGCAGUACUUCCUCCAUCACACGUUCUAGUCGACAUAUCGAGUGAGGGAAGACGUAUGACCCAAGAGAGAACCACAAAGAGAGAGACCAAAGAGCCAGAGCUCAACCCCCGCAAACACAACUAGACGUGACCAACUGAUCCGUCUAAAGCACAGUUGACUCGCUCAUCAGAUCUCAACUAAAGCAAUAAAGGUGUGAAUGGUGUGUAUUCCUGGAUAAGAGGAGCGACUACCCCCCCGGGAGUGGACCACAGCACGGAUGCUACGCGCCAAUCUUUC
Molecule: non-coding RNA, 435 nt
Organism: Procambarus clarkii (red swamp crayfish)
Lineage: Eukaryota; Metazoa; Arthropoda; Malacostraca; Decapoda; Cambaridae
Source: RefSeq, a predicted model, not a curated record